Molecule: long non-coding RNA, 243 nt
Filed under: Brassica rapa (field mustard)
Lineage: Eukaryota; Viridiplantae; Streptophyta; Magnoliopsida; Brassicales; Brassicaceae
Description: long non-coding RNA (BRAP_LNC001547)
Source: RNAcentral
UUUUUAUUUUUAUUUAUUUUUGUUUGUUUAUUUAAUUUUAAACUAAGGGUAUUAGGGAUAUUUUACCCUUUAAUGAAUGUCAUUUUUGUGACUUUCUCCUUCUAGUGCUAUUUUUGAGACAUAAACUUCAAAAUGUGCUAUUAUUGACAAUUGCCCUAAAAAGAACUAAGAGAAGAAGCAAAAAAAUUGAUGAAAAUAAGAAAACAUGUUUUCCUGCAACAAAUUUUUUUAAAAAAAAAGGAA